Molecule: ribosomal RNA, 393 nt
Filed under: uncultured bacterium
Lineage: Bacteria
Description: partial 16S ribosomal RNA
Rfam family: Bacterial small subunit ribosomal RNA
Source: RNAcentral
AUACGGAGGAUGCAAGCGUUAUCCGGAUUUAUUGGGUUUAAAGGGUGCGUAGGCGGUUUGCUAAGCGGGAGGUGAAAUGCCGGCGCUCAACGUCGGAAGUGCCUCCCGAACUGGUGGACUGGAAUGACUCUGCCGUGGGAGGAAUGUGUAGUGUAGCGGUGAAAUGCUUAGAGAUUACACAGAACACCGAUUGCGAAGGCAUCUCACGAAGGGUUGAUUGACGCUGAGGCACGAAAGCGUGGGGAUCAAACAGGAUUAGAUACCCUGGUUGUCCACGCAGUAAACGAUGAUGGCUAACCGCUGGUUUUUUCGGAUCAGUGGCCAAGCGAAAGCGAUAAGCCAUCCACCUGGGGAGUACGACCGCAAGGUUGAAACUCAAAUGAAUUGGCGGGG